UAUUAUAUUAUAAAAUAUAUUAUUUUAUUUUGGUUAAUAUUUUUAUUAUUAUUUUAUUUUACAUGUAAAUUUUUGUGUGAAUUUAUUUAAUUUUUAAAAAAUUAUUUAGUUUAUUUAUUCGCAGUGAUCAAUAUUAAUAUAAAAAAGAAAUUUUGUAUUAGUAAUAAUAUAUAGUAUUGGUAAAAUUUGUGCCAGCUACCGCGGUUAUACAAAUAAUACAAAUAAAAAUUUUUAGUAUUAGUUAAAUUAAUCAAAUUUUAAUAUAAAUAUAAAUUUAUUAGGUGAAAUUUUUAAAUUUAUUUAUUAUUAAUUUAAAAAAUAAUUUAAGCUAUAAACUUUUUAUAAUAAACUAGGAUUAGAUACCCUAUUAUUAAAAAUAAAUAUGAGCAUACUAAAGUAGUAUUAGUUAUAUUCUUAAAAUUUAAAAAAUUUGGCGGUAUUUUAGUCUAUUCAGAGGAAUCUGUCCUGUAAUUGAUAGUCCACAUUGAACCUUACUUAAAUUUGUUUAAUUUGUAUAUCGCCGUCAUCAGAAUAUAUUAUAAGAUAAAAUUUUCUUAAUAUUUAAUAAAAUAAUAUGUCAGGUCAAGGUGCAGUUUAUGUUUAAGUAGAGAUGGAUUACAAUAAAUUUAUUUAAUAUGGAUAAUUUUUUGAAAUAAAGAUUUGAAAGUGGAUUUGAAAGUAAUAUAAAAUAGAUUAUUUAUAUGAUUUUAGCUCUAAAAUAUGCACAUAUCGCCCAUCGUUCUUAUUUUUAAAAUAAGAUAAGUUGUAACAUAGUAGAUGUACUGGAAAGUGUAUCUAGAAAGA
This 804-nucleotide non-coding RNA is filed under the name Culex pipiens (northern house mosquito). The record is from RNAcentral. RNAcentral also lists the same sequence under 1 other name. Lineage: Eukaryota; Metazoa; Arthropoda; Insecta; Diptera; Culicidae.